Molecule: long non-coding RNA, 1916 nt
Organism: Stomoxys calcitrans (stable fly)
Lineage: Eukaryota; Metazoa; Arthropoda; Insecta; Diptera; Muscidae
Exons: 8
Source: RefSeq, a predicted model, not a curated record
AAUUGGAAUAACCACUUAUGAAUGAGAAUGUAAAUAUCACAGUUUACGGGAUUGUAUAUGUAGUUAAAAGCUUAUAUACAUAUAACAUAUGUUUUGUUUCUAUCAGUUAGAAGAAUAUGUAAAACGAAUUGAGCAAUGCUCGUGUUUCUUCUAUCAUCCAAGAUGAGAUCCAGGCGAUGUCUUGUUAAAAAAUGCUGGCAAAGUGGACGGGGCUGAUUCGUUGUCGAUGGUUUUAUUGAUAACGGCAACUGGAGAAAGAUCGUUUUCAUGUGUGGCCAUUUUUUGUACAAAUAUAUUCAGGUGCUUGAACCCAUAUGCACAUAAUGGUUCAAUGCUUAAAAUAUUGUAGAUGAAUUUUCCCUCCAGGAUUUCCAACUCUUUGGCCACUAUCGGAGAUACAGUGAACCAGAUAGGAAAGCCGUAUAUCAACAUGGGUCUAAUGGCCACUUUAUAAGGCAACAUUUUAGUGGACUGUGCAUGCGGAUUGAAUUUCAGCAUCUUAUCAAAUGUGAUGCCCAGAUAUUUAACUUUGGAUUCCACCGGAAUAUUGACACCAUUAAGGGUUUGCUGUUACUUUCGCCAUUGCUAUUUCCGGGGACUUAUCAUGGGCAUAAAUAAGGCAGUCAUCUGCGUAAAGGAUAGCCUGCGAAUCUUGAGACAUAUGUAUGAGGGAAAUCGUGUAAAAAUAUAUUGAAGAGAUGAGGCGCCAAAACACUGCCUUGGGGUACUCCGCUACAAACAGAUCCAAAGUCUGACACUGUGUUUUGGACAUCUACGCAAAAUUUUCUAUUUGUGAAAUAACUGUGAAGAAUUUUUACCAGAUGGCAUUCCUGUAUGAAGCCGAUGUCUAUUUAUUACUGUGCAGUGUGUCCUUUAGACCAAUUUGGCGACUAACAUCAUUAAGGGAUCUUACGUUGUAUGCGCAAAAACUCAGCUUUGGCCUCGGAUUUUGACAUUCUCGCAUACUCAGAGAGAAAGAUGUUGACUUCCUGUUCCAAAGUCAAAUCCUCAGGUUCCAGAAAAAGGGAUGCUAAUUUUAAAAAUUGAUCUAUGAUGGCAGGUUUUUGUUGCACUGUAUUUUGCUCAGAGGGACGAGUAUGAAACAAAUUGGAAAACGUAUGUCCUGGAGUAACCAUCGACAUGUUUACAGCUUUGUGAACAUUUGCCUUGGCAAGCGCCCUUUCUUCUUUGGCCUUCACUAUCUUUUGCUGACGCGCAGCAACAUAUUUCUUAUAAGUAGGACAUCCCCGCAAAUUCGCUGGAUGACCCUCCUCACCGCAAUUAUUACAAAAGGGAUUUGAUGAAUCCUCCUUUGUACGUUGGCAUUCAACCGGGCCAUGUUUUUGGUUGCAUUUGACACAAUUGUAUGACGAACUACAAUUUUUUGCAAUGUGGCCCCAACGCUGACACCUCCUACAUUGAAUUUCAUUGUCCUUCCUUAUUGGUUUUUCCCAGGAUACGAUUUGACUUUGCAAAGCUCUUAUGUUCGAAAUGUCUGAGAGUUUUUUUCCUGGCAACUAUGACACAAAAAGAGGCUAGUCUCAUUGUUUUUUGGUGUUUUAUAUUUUGCAACAUUUGCAACUGUAUUUGGAAUGACCUCCUCUAAUUCAGAUUUAAUAUCCUCUAUUUCAGUGUUCGCCGUAAGCCCUCGUAAAACAAAGGACGGCUGCUUUAAUUCUUUCGGUGUAAAAUAAUAUGAAUGUACACCCUUCUCACGCAAAAGGGCCAUCAUUGACGAGUGGACAGACGGAUCGGAAAAAACAAUUUACUUUUGUUUUUGUUCACAUUCUUUACCUUGAAAGAAAACUUUGGUAUUGUCUCCCUUAAGGAGUCAAAAAGCGCCUUAAUGUUGACAUUGUAAAUAAAACUUGGUGGACACCAUUUUUGCCUUGUCGCACCAUUGUUGUUGUUGAUGA